RNAcentral lists this ribosomal RNA (253 nucleotides) under uncultured bacterium. RNAcentral describes it as "partial 16S ribosomal RNA". It matches the Rfam family "Bacterial small subunit ribosomal RNA", at positions 524 to 776 of the family's 1533-position model. The record is from RNAcentral.
UACGUAGGGUGCAAGCGUUAAUCGGAAUUACUGGGCGUAAAGCGUGCGCAGGCGGUUGUGCAAGACAGAUGUGAAAUCCCCGGGCUCAACCUGGGAAUUGCAUUUGUGACUGCACGGCUAGAGUGUGUCAGAGGGGGGUAGAAUUCCACGUGUAGCAGUGAAAUGCGUAGAGAUGUGGAGGAACACCGAUGGCGAAGGCAGCCCCCUGGGUCAAGACUGACGCUCAUGCACGAAAGCGUGGGGAGCAAACAGG